AUCACACGAACAUAAUAUUCAUCACUGCCAAAAAUAUUAUGUGUUCCUUGUACCAAGGCCAUGACAAUGAAAAUGGAAGAAGCAAAACAUAGUAUAAGGUAAACACUCACCACAAAUUUCAUUGUUUUUUUAGUGAUGUGUUAUGAUAUGAUAUGUUUCUGACUUGCCACUAAGGCUUUCUAUAUAUGGCUACCAAUAUUUCAUACAUUAAUUAUUUUAUGCAUAGAACAUAUUAACUAGCUCAACUUGACUUAUCAUUGCUGUUUAAUUUAAUAGUACUAUGAUAAUGGUUGCAUUGUUGCGCCGAUUUAGUGCUUGGACAAAUCCUUUUCAUCUUUUCUUUUAUUGAUACGUGAUCUCAAUCUUAUCAUGUUGUAUGAUAUUUGUCUCUAUUGUCUUUUUCUUAUGCUUAUAUAAAGUAUCAAUUGUCGUUUAAUAUUGACUAAUCUGCUUUAAAAAAUGUAUUGGGUUCACAAUCGAAUUUUUACACAGAUAAGGUUCGGAGAGCGAACAUUUAACCACUUGAUUGAAAUGCAAUAGUUUCUUACCACUCAGACCAAUCACAUGUUGACACCUUUGUCGCGGCUUUAUGUUUGUGGUGUGGAUAUCUUAUUUUAAAGCAUAUCCAUGGGACUGUAUGUCUGUUUAUCUGCUAAGAUAUUGCUUUCAAGAUUCUAUACUUUUUCUUCUUUUGUUUGAUGAAAAAAUAUAUUCUAUAUAAAUAUAACAAUUUGGUAAUAUUUUAUAAGAUACAUAAUUUUUAUGUAUUAAUUUAAGAGAUAAAUAAUUAUAUCGUACUUGAUUGUUAGCCAGGUUCCACCACUUAGGACUUGUUGUUAGGUACAAAAAAUACGUGGAGAAAAAGAGUGGAAAGAAAAGGAGAAGAAAAACAAAGACUAUCUCUCAUUUGUACGGAAGAGAAACAGACAAAAGAAAGCAAGAAGUAUUGGUGGGGUUUACAUAUUAUUUUUUCUUCAAAUUGGGAAUAAAGAUAAGAUAAAGUUAUAAUGCAUUUCUAUUCUCAUCCUUAAUAAGUACAACAUGUCUUUCUAUUCUCAUCUCUUUUAGAGUAUUUUUGUCCCAUUUAAAAUAAUAUAUAUGUUUUUUUUUAA
RNAcentral lists this long non-coding RNA (1112 nucleotides) under Medicago truncatula (barrel medic). RNAcentral's name for it is "long non-coding RNA (MTRU_LNC008166)". Lineage: Eukaryota; Viridiplantae; Streptophyta; Magnoliopsida; Fabales; Fabaceae. The record is from RNAcentral.